AUUACAGGCUGAACCCUAACAACUUUGCAAAGACUGUGAAGACUUUUCAAAAGGUGGAGAAACAAAUAGCACUUUGGGGCAAAGAUUUCAAUCCUUUUGUGGAGAAAAUUAUUGCUGAUGCAUUCUGCCCGUUUCAAAAUAUCCAACUCCAGAUGGAAAAUAUGGAGGAGCGGAUAAAUAAAAAGAUAGAUGCUAUGUCCGUUCUAGAUUUUGCCAAAUUGAUUGAGGAAGUUCGGCGACUCUAGGAGGAUGUUGAUAGGAUACAGCAGUCUACCCUUGAUCCAUUUCAGAUUCCCAAUGAUGAUGAUAAAGGCCUGGUUGAUUUGUUCGGGUGUCCAAUCAAGGACAAAGGUAAGAAGGCAGUGGAGAUGGAUGAGCAAACUGAAAGGGCAACCAGGAAAUCUGCUAAGAGGGAGGAGCAAAAAUACAGAAUGGCAAAAAUGAUACCUCAGGAAAUGGAGAAAUUUCAGAUGGACCGGGCAACUAAAAAGUCAAAGAAGAUAGCUGAGCGAGAGGAGAAAAGGCACUGGGAUGCAGCCGCUGGAGUAUCUACUAGUGUAGCCACCACCAUGAGGGUAAACAUUGUUACCGGUGAGGCCACUGGGGCCUCACCUCAUUUGCAAGACACCUCAGAUGAAUAAGAGGCACACCACAAGUAUUUUCCCUUCCUUUACACUUACAUCAUAUGCAUUGGGGACAAUGCAUUAUUUUGUGCGGGGGUGGGAUUACUUGUACCAUGUGGGGUUAUGUUACCGUUAAUCAUUACCCUAUCAUGUAUUAUCUAGAAAAAUUGGCAUGUUUAGGAUUCUAUUAGUUUAAUUUCAGUUUUUGCAUGGAUAAUAGUACUAUCUAAGUUUAAUUUUAGUUUAAGUAUUAUGUUUUAUUUUUAAGUAUGGUUUCUUGGACAACCUUUCCAUCUAAUGAAUAAAAGUUUAGUUUAUGUUAACACCAGUUUAUAUAUAUGCAUAACAUGUGACUAUGGCAAAGUAUUUGUGCACAUUUGUUAUAUAAUUACUUCUUCUUUUCUUGAUGGUAAAAAUGCUAUGUGGCCAUAUGUGAUUCUGAAACUAGCAUACGAAUGUAAGUGAUUAUAGCCAUAUGUUACCAAUCAUAAGAGUUAAUGGAAUAGGAAUUAAUUGAGUGCUUGUGUGUGUGAGCGUUUGUACAGUUCCUUCAUAUAUGCUACACCUAGAACUUGCCCGGUUCAUUUGUUGUUGUUUUGUUUCUGACUCAAUAAGACAGGGUACUAGGCCUCCUUGUUUUGUUACUUCCCUUAUCCUAAAUAAUGAUCCACCAAAAAUAGUCUAUUCUUAUUGUAAACUUUGUUAAUGUUUGUUUUACACAAAUAAAUUUGGACUCACUCUCUAGUAAGUGUUACCAUUUAGUGUUGGCCCUGGUCCGAUAUCGGACAUUGUGUACUUAAACUUAGGAAAAUAACCUAAGUUGAGGGUGGCUACUACUGAGUAUUGACAAUAUAGGACGUUGAUCCAAGUCAAAUUGUGAGUAAGCAUCCGGACCUGGUCUAGUUAGAUGUCUAAGUAGAUAAUGUGCACCUUAUAGAAGUUGAGGGUGGCUGAAUCUGGUACUUGCAUAAUUUUAAAAAAAAAUUGGUUUGGCUGCUGGGAUGAUGUUGAAAUGACAUAGAUAAAUGAAGCUUUAGUCUUGGUGAGUAGCUACCUAGAAGGGUAAAAGAGAGUGAGUCUAGCCAUGUCGUCCUAAAGAAAUAUCUUCACCAAGCCCAAAACCUCAUUUGUGAUCCUAAAACGUCCUACUUAAUCUUAGCGAGUCAGUUAUAAAGAAACAUUAGAUGAUAUGGGCAAGCUUAUGGGUGUGCAUUAUGUUUGCAACUUCUGUUCUGAGAGUGAGAGUCUUAGGUUCGUCCACAAAUUAAUUAUAUAUAAUGAGAGGUGGAUUUCUUUGGCUGUGAGAGCACGCAAUUUAUCCUUAGACUGCUGAUUCCUUUGGGUAUUGUAUCUAUGGCUAUAAAUAUGCUGAGUAGUAGUUGAUACCAGUUAUAGAUCCUUAUGUGUCAAAGCAUUUAGCCCAAUGGCAGUUGAAUAAUUGUAUAGCUAUGUUGACAUGACUGUUGCCUGUCAUUUUGUUGUUCAUAUGUGCAAAACUGGUGUAAGUUGCUUGAGGACAAGCAGUUGUCUUAAGUUAAGGGUAUUGAUGUUUCGUCUUCCGACGGAACAUCUUAGGCCUUCUUCGUAAGAUAAAUGCAUGUUUUUGAGCAACUAAUAUUGUCUUUGAUAUUGUAUUUAAGUGUUUUCUGGACAAAAUCCAAGUGGGAUGAAUUACUUAAGAAAAUGGGCAAAACCAG
RNAcentral lists this long non-coding RNA (2320 nucleotides) under Capsicum annuum. Its description in RNAcentral is "long non-coding RNA (CANN_LNC019961)". The record is from RNAcentral. Lineage: Eukaryota; Viridiplantae; Streptophyta; Magnoliopsida; Solanales; Solanaceae.